GAAGUUAAGCAACGUCGGGCGGGGUCAGUACUUGGAUGGGUGACCGUUUUUAUAGAUAAUGGUACGGAACCCUUCGUGUGCGAGUCCGACUCGCACUUGGCCGGUUUUUUUAAUAUGUAGUAGGUAUUUGUUGUUAUAGCGGCAACAGAAAUACAUAAUCUGUAAAAAUUUCAACUGUCUAUUUAGCUAUCACGGUUCAUGAGAUACAGCCUGGUGACAGACGGACGGACAGUGGACGAAGUCUUAGUAAUAGGGUCCCGUUU
Molecule: long non-coding RNA, 263 nt
Organism: Cydia splendana
Lineage: Eukaryota; Metazoa; Arthropoda; Insecta; Lepidoptera; Tortricidae
Exons: 3
Source: RefSeq, a predicted model, not a curated record